RNAcentral lists this ribosomal RNA (465 nucleotides) under Vreelandella stevensii. RNAcentral's name for it is "partial 16S ribosomal RNA". It matches the Rfam family "Bacterial small subunit ribosomal RNA", at positions 338 to 795 of the family's 1533-position model. The record is from RNAcentral. Lineage: Bacteria; Pseudomonadati; Pseudomonadota; Gammaproteobacteria; Oceanospirillales; Halomonadaceae.
CCUACGGGGGGCUGCAGUGGGGAAUAUUGGACAAUGGGGGCAACCCUGAUCCAGCCAUGCCGCGUGUGUGAAGAAGGCCCUCGGGUUGUAAAGCACUUUCAGUGAGGAAGAACGCCUGGUGGUUAAUACCCAUCAGGAAAGACAUCACUCACGGAAGAAGCACCGGCUAACUCCGUGCCAGCAGCCGCGGUAAUACGGAGGGUGCGAGCGUUAAUCGGAAUUACUGGGCGUAAAGCGCGCGUAGGUGGCUUGAUAAGCCGGUUGUGAAAGCCCCGGGCUCAACCUGGGAACGGCAUCCGGAACUGUCAAGCUAGAGUGCAGGAGAGGAAGGUAGAAUUCCCGGUGUAGCGGUGAAAUGCGUAGAGAUCGGGAGGAAUACCAGUGGCGAAGGCGGCCUUCUGGACUGACACUGACACUGAGGUGCGAAAGCGUGGGUAGCAAACAGGAUUAGAUACCCUGGUAGUC